This 5057-nucleotide long non-coding RNA is filed under the name Sarcophilus harrisii (Tasmanian devil). Its description in RNAcentral is "lncRNA (ENSSHAG00000026025.1)". The record is from RNAcentral. Lineage: Eukaryota; Metazoa; Chordata; Mammalia; Dasyuromorphia; Dasyuridae.
AAAACCCUGUGACAAUGAUAAAGUUUUCAUUUCUUUAAGUUUCCACUUUUGAUUCAAUAUGCAUUUUUUAUUUCCUACUAAUUUGAUAGUUCCUUGGGCUUUUUUUUUUUUUAUGCUAGAUGCCUAGUCAAGUGAAAAAGCAUUAAGCAUCCACUAUGUGCUAGGCACAGUGCUAAGCACUCUGAUUUUUUCUAGUCUUGAAUAAUAAUGUACCCUUAACACAUUUUAUUAUAUAUCUCAACUGGAGUGAAAGGAACAGAUUUUCAAUCAAGAGGAAAUUGACAUCAAAUCCAAUCUAAGCUACUUUGGGGACCAGACCAAUCUAAAGGCAGAGAAAAAGGUAAGAGACUAGAUCCCACCUUCUUAAACUGUGUUUUGAGACCUAUUGGAUUUUGUAACUGGAUGUGGGGGUCAUGAAAUUAUGACAAUAUCAGUAAAUAUUUUAUUUGUAUACCUAUUUUAUAUACCUACAUACCUGGGGUCACAUAAAAAUUUCUUAGGUGAAAAGGUGUGAGUGGGAAAAGUUUAAGGAGUCUGAUCUAGACAACGUAAAAAUGGAUUAUUUGGUCCUAACUAGGUCACUACCAAAUGUAGCAUGCUAUAAUUGAAAGAGUACCUGGAUUUGGAAUUUGAGAACUUUAAUUCAAAUCUUAAUUAUGUUUGUUACUUGGAUCAAUGUGGGCAAGUAACUUCUCUGGUUUGUUUCCUCUUCUAUCAAAUAAAGGGGUUAGAGUAUGUGAUCUGUAAGACCUCUUCUGGAUUUAAACCUAUAUUUCUAUAAAUACUCCUAAUUUAUCAUCUUAUUAAAUUUUAGCUAUUAACUAUAACAUGGGUAAAAAUAUGUAACUUUUGACCUUUCUUUUGGCAGAAUGCUGCAACGCUCUUAUGUCAAUUCAUAUUUAGAAAUCAAAAGAGAAAUAUGCAUAUUUGUGAGCACUCCUCCAAAUGUUAACAUUAAUAUUUUUUCUAUAAUGAAAAUAUUUGGGGAAAUAUUAUAUCCUAGUAAUAUAAAAUGUGUAUACCUUCUGACACAUUGUAUUGUUUAAGUAUUCAGAUCAAAUCAAUUUUAAUAAUCCAGAGUUAUAAAUCAGUUUCUUGGAAUGGAUGAUACUAGCACAUUUUUAUAUAGUACUAAUUAAGACAUGCCACAGAACUAUUAGCUCAUUUUCAAUAUAUCUUAGGUUAGAUUUCCUUAUUUCCAGGGAUCAGAUAGGAGUCGAAAAGCACUAAAAUCAGGAGAUAUUGCAGAAUACUUGCUUUGAAGUGGCUUUAUUCUGAUGAAUGUUCUAUGGAAAGUUUUCUGGUAAGGCCCUCAAAAUAAGUCAUAUAGUUCUAGGGCCUUGGCAGAAGCACCUCCACUUCUCCUGACUCAACGUGUCUGUUUCCAUUGGAAAUUGGUUUUCCUCCCUAGGUUCAAGGGAAAGAAUUAUUUUGAUAUGCAGCUUUCAACCAUACUUUUGCUUUUUCAGAUGUCCUAAUUUCUCAUAUCUAUACAGUUUGGGGAAGAAGGGCUAGCUUCUGAUAUUGCACUUUGUAUGAUAUUGCAAUAGUGAAGCAUGAUAAAUGUUUAGAUAUUACAUAAUCUUAUUCACAAAUUGUUUUUUGCAUCAUUUCAUGACAAAAGGAAGAACAGCACUUUUCUAAAAUGAGUGACAACUUUAAAUAGAACUAAUUGAAUUCUCAAACAUUAAGAUGUGUUCUACUGUCUCAAAUUAUUUUUUACAUCAGCACACAUGUUAGUUUUCUGUCACUUCAUGUCCAUUUUGGAUUUUUCAAGUUAAAGGUGAACUAUGAUUAAGAAGAUUGAUGACAUGGAUUUAGGGGAAGAAAUCAAAGAAUAACAUUCCAAUUGUUUCUGAAGAAAUAAUCUCCAUUGAGAUAAGAAAAUUAUUUGCAGAACAAUAUUUAUUUUAAAAAAUAGAAUACAAGGAAGUGGAUUAAUUGAUGAGAUAUGGUACUUGAAUUAGCAAAAGAAUAAUCAAUUUUCUCAAUAUUAUUCUUUUUAACAUAGCUGCUGAUUUAUUCACUUUUAGCAUUGUUCAGAUACUACUUAUCUUGGCAGUUUUCAGAUGUUUCAUAAGGUUAAGAACAUCCGGAUCUUCUCUUCAAAAAGGAAAUAACUAAGAAAGGCAUUUGUUUACAUUGCUAUAACAUUACACUGUAGUUAAUAAUGUUGGUGGGCUUCUUCCUUGGUGCCCAUAUGAACACCAUAUGAGAAGUGAAAUUCUCUAGAACUGAUUCCCAGAGCUUCUGACCAAUCUUGGGGAUUCUGAGGUUUUAUAUGGUAUUGAACUGAAGAAAAGUAGCUUAAGAAAGUUAAAAAGUUGAGCAAAUAAACAGACAUUUGCAUUUUGAUUUCUUAAAAAAUCACUAUCUAAAAGUUGCCAAAACUUCUCAUCAGUCCAAAAGGAUAGAAGAAUAUGGAAUUGAAGGAAGCUGAAUAUGUCCCAAGGAAAAUAAAGAGGAGUGAAUUAUCACGGUAGAUUUACACUGUGUAUAGCAGUGGGUAGGUGAGGAAGAUGAUAAUGGUAAUGUAUGUAAUUUUAAAAAAAUGAGAGAAUCUAGUCUUAGGGUAUGCAAUGCUUCUCCUAAAAUAAACAAAGGUUUUCCCAUCUAAGUCUUCCCUAGAAAAUAUGCAGAAGUAUUGAAGCUGAGUCUUCAAUAAAAUAGGUCUUGUUGACUUCAUAGACAUUUAACAAAAUUCACGGCCAUUAUGCAUUACCUUGUCAGCAAGGAGAGUUCUCUGGAGAUGAAGCUCUGACCAUGCUGAAAGAGAAACAGCAAGACUGGGAUGUGUACCUCCCCCUGAAGCCAAUGCUUAAACUUCUUUUAUGGAAAUACCAAAAUCCUUUCAAUUCCAUGAACUCCUAAUUUUUUUUCCAAGUGCUUUGCUUUAAACUGGCAUUUUUUUUUUUUUCAUUGAAAAACUGAGGGAAAAAAUUCUUUGAAGUUUAUAUUUAUUUUUAAUCCGAUAAGAAUAUAAAGUUUUACAUAUGCCAUUCUAUUUCUGAUACGCAUAAUGCCUUGAAACUUAGCUGUGAACCAUACAGAUGUUCUCCUUACUGAACAAAUCUGACAUGCUUCUAUGGCCCUGAUAAAAACAAACAAACCAUGUUUUGAUUGUGAGCCACAAAAAUCAAGAUUCAUGGAAUAAUCCUGUCUAUUUUUCUUAUAUGCAACAAAAAGAUACACAUAGCUCUCCAUGAAUAUCUAUUUUGCAGAUAAAUUGAAGAUGGAAUUACCAAUUGGAAAGACUUUUCCAUUCUGCCCUCCCAAUCUGCAGAAGAAGUUAGAGUGAUAUUCAGUAAACUUUUUAGUACAUGUGCUAUUUUAGUUAACAGACAGCUCUGGUUUUAUUUUUUACUUUUAGAAAAACAUCAUAAGUUGAAAAGAAGCCUUUUUAAUAAAAAAUGGUAUGGCCACUUCCUGUCUCUUAACAGUCAUACUGUUGUAUAAUAUUUGCCAUAUUACAAUAUCCUUAACCCAGGACAUCCAUCAAUAAAAUAUAAAUGUUUUAUAAAUUGCAAUCUGUUGCUUUUCCCUUGUACACUCUUUACAUAUCUUUUUUUUUUUUUUUUUUUGGUUGUUCCUUAAAUGCUCUGUACAAUCACAUGUAAAACCUCGAGCUAAAACCUCAAUAAAAAAAAGUCAGUAAACAAAGAACAAGUGAUGUCACAUUAUUAUGUAGUAAAAGCAAAGCUUGGACUUCAGGAGUUUCAAAUUAAGCCAUAGUAACAAAGCUUUACAAGAUUUAAAACCAACAUAUUCUUCCUUAUUUCCCUCCUACAUAUAUACAUUUGACAAGAGAAGAGAAAAGUGGGAAAGGCAGAAAUUUUUGAUUUUUUGCCUUUUAUUAUUUUUUAAAUUUUGCUUUAAAAAAAUAAUCAAUUGCUACAACUAGAAUUCAUUGAGCUCAACAUUUGACAAUGGAUGGAACAGAGCUAGAAGUAGUCAUCACUACUUCUCUGCCUUGGCCCAAACUAUCUCUUGGCCAAUGCCUUAUGUAUCUUACUUGUUCAGGUUGGAAAUACAGAGCUACAGUUUAUUUCCAGUUUUUGGGAGUAAAUACAGAAGUGAACUGCUGGCUGGAAAGAUUUUUCUAGUCUUUCUAGGAUCAUAUAUCAUAAGAAAGGACUUUCAAAGGACAUGAAUCCCAACCCUCUAAUUUUGCACAUAAGAAAACUGAGGCUCAGAGGGGCUAUAUGAUUUCUCCAAUGUCUGAAAUAAGGUAGAUUUGAACCUAAAGUGUUAUGCCUACUAUAGCAUGCUAACUUCCUCAAGGCAGUAGCUUGGGGAAAAAAGGUAAUUAGAAAUAUAAGCAUCAACUUUAACAGCCUUCUCCCCCACCUUUCUCUCUAUUUUCUGUGUCUGUCUCCCCUUCCCCCCCCCCACACCCUCGAAGUCAAAUGUUAAAUCAAAAUAUCAAGGAACUUCACCUUUUUAUAUAAGUGAGAAUCUCAAAUAUUAUUGAAAGUUGCUUUAGUUAAUUAUGGACCAGAACUUAUAUACUUGUAUAUUGUUCCCUUCUCUCCCUACCCCAUACUUGGUUAGACUAAAAAUACCAAGGAGAAAGAGGGGAGAAGUUAAUUCAAUAGAUAAGGAAUAUAAUAUAUUAAGAUAUGUUAAUGAGCUAUCAAAAUUAUUUUAUCUAAUAUGAAAAAGUUUGGAGGGCAGUGAUCUCACCUUUAUAAGAGCAUGUGAAAAAAGGAUAAAUACUUUUUAAGGUAAGUACUUAGCAGACAAAGGACCUAAAGGUUGUCCUGGAUGCUACAUUUUGAAUGAAUAGCAUUUGUUCCUUUUAAAUUUUGCAUUGGAAAAAGACAAUGGCAACUAAAUAGGUCUGGGGAAACUGAAGAUCCUUCAAGAAAAGAAGGAUUAUUUUGAGCUCACUCUCUAAAAAUACUAAUUGUAAUUGAUUAGAUGCUUUCUUUCAAAUUAAAAAAAAAAAGUAGGGGAUGCAAUGCCAAAAGUGAGGAGUAGGAAAAAUGUGAUUCAACUGAAAAACAUUUCAUAAAGAUGAGCGAUUUGUAAUAAUCAUUGAAAAGUAGAUUGGAGGC